Gordionus sp. m RMFG-2023 is the source of this 1062-nucleotide long non-coding RNA. RefSeq lists it as uncharacterized. NCBI's taxonomy places the organism in Eukaryota, Metazoa, Nematomorpha, Gordioida, Chordodea, Parachordodidae. The transcript is spliced from 3 exons. The record is from RefSeq and is a predicted model, not a curated record.
UUGGUAGAAUAAUAGGUUUUUAUGCCAUUUAAUAUACUUUAUCUAAAAUUAAAAAGCAGUUUCAUAGUGGAGACGGAUCCGAUUUCACGUCAAAACAUCUGAUUUGACGGCGUCCGACAAGGCUUUCAUAGUGAUUUUUUUUUAACGUUUCAACUUAAAACAGAUUAGACAUUAUUUUAUUUUUUAAAAUGAACCAAUAUUCUCUAUUUAAAUUAUAUAUGAUAUAUGAUCUCUUAUUCAAGAAAGAAAAAAAUAUAGUAAAUUCAAAAAGGAGGAAGGAGGGAGCAUAUUUUACUUUGCUGCCAAAAUUACUUAUAGAUGACCUCAAGUUUUAUAAUUACAUGUGUAUGAAAAAAAUACCUAGCAACUGGUAAUUCAUAUGUCACCUUGUCAUAUUCUCAUAAACUUGGGGUAUCAACUAUAAAACUAAUAAUAGGAGAAAAUACAAAAGCUAUAUGGGAUAUUAUUCAACCCAUCCAUAUGAAGGUCCCAACAUUGGAGAUGUUUGAGGAAGUUGCUAAGGGCUUUGAUGAAAGGUGGAACUUCCCAAACUGUAUAGGUGCCAUUGAUGGGAAACAUUGUAAAACAAAAAAGUCUCCAUAUUCUUGAACCCAAUUUUAUAAUUACAAGCAUGGAUUUUCAAUAAUCCUUCAAGCAUUGGUGGAUCAUAAUGGCAAAUUUAUGGUUAUAGAUGUUGGCACUUAUGGAAGCCAAAAUGAAAGAAAAUUUAAAUAUAAUAAGUUUUGAUCUUGUUGGUUCAAAUUAUCCUUUAUGGAACCAACAGAGUAUUAAAAAUAGUUCUGAUAAAAAUAAAAAUAUAAGAAACUUAUUUAGCAAUUAUUUUAAUAAUAGACAUUUGCCCUGGCAAACUAAUAUAUUAAAUUAAUAUUUAUUUUUUCAAUAUUUUGAUUUUAUAUGUAUUAAAUUUCUUUAUAUUUUUUUGGUAUAUAUUUUCUUUUUAUAAAAAUACAAGAACUUGUUCAUAAAAUAAUUAUUUUGUACCAAUUUCCCAUGUUUUUGUUUAAUAUAUUCUUAAAAAAAAUUUAUACAUGUAAAUAAAUA